Molecule: ribosomal RNA, 460 nt
Filed under: uncultured Treponema sp.
Lineage: Bacteria; Pseudomonadati; Spirochaetota; Spirochaetia; Treponematales; Treponemataceae
Description: partial 16S ribosomal RNA
Rfam family: Bacterial small subunit ribosomal RNA
Source: RNAcentral
ACGGGAGGCAGCAGCUAAGAAUAUUCCGCAAUGGACGAAAGUCUGACGGAGCGACGCCGCGUGGAUGAUGAAGGUCGGAAGAUUGUAAAAUCCUUUUAUGACUGAGGAAUAAGUGAAGUGAGAGAAACGCUUCAUGGUGACUGUAGGUCAUGAAUAAGCAACGGCUAAUUACGUGCCAGCAGCCGCGGUAACACGUAAGUUGCGAGCGUUGUUCGGAAUUAUUGGGCGUAAAGGGCAUGUAGGCGGUUUUGCAAGGUUGGGGUGAAAUCCCGGAGCUCAACUCCGGAAGUGCGUUGAGAACUGCAUAACUAGAGUCACUGAGGGGCAAUCAGAAUUCCAGGUGUAGGGGUGAAAUCUGUAGAUAUCUGGAAGAAUACCAAUGGCGAAGGCAGGUUACCAGCAGAUGACUGACGCUGAGGUGCGAAGGUGCGGGGAGCAAACAGGAUUAGAUACCCUGGUA